Molecule: ribosomal RNA, 520 nt
Filed under: uncultured bacterium
Lineage: Bacteria
Description: partial 16S ribosomal RNA
Rfam family: Bacterial small subunit ribosomal RNA
Source: RNAcentral
UGGGGAAUAUUGGACAAUGGGCGAAAGCCUGAUCCAGCAAUGCCGCGUGAGUGAUGAAGGCCUUAGGGUUGUAAAGCUCUUUACCCGGGAUGAUAAUGACAGUACCGGGAGAAUAAGCUCCGGCUAACUCCGUGCCAGCAGCCGCGGUAAUACGGAGGGAGCUAGCGUUGUUCGGAAUUACUGGGGCGUAAAGCGCACGUAGGCGGCUUUGUAAGUAGAGGUGAAAAGCCUGGAGCUCAACUCCCAGAAUUGCCUUUAAGACUGCAUCGCUCGAAUCCAGGAGAGGUGAGUGGAAUUCCGAGUGUAGAGGUGAAAUUCGUAGAUAUUCGGAAGAACACCAGUGGCGAAGGCGGCUCACUGGACUGGUAUUGACGCUGAGGUGCGAAAAGCGUGGGGAGCAAAACAGGAUUAGAUACCCUGGUAGUCCACGCCGUAAAACGAUGAUAACUAGCUGUCCGGGGGACCUGGUCCUUGGGUGGCGCAGCUAACGCAUUAAAGUUAUCCGCCUGGGGGAGUACGG